This 1109-nucleotide long non-coding RNA is filed under the name Chrysemys picta bellii (western painted turtle). RNAcentral's name for it is "lncRNA (ENSCPBG00000004836.1)". The record is from RNAcentral. Lineage: Eukaryota; Metazoa; Chordata; Testudines; Emydidae.
UGUUUGCAGCCAGUGCCAGGGAAACCCCUCUGCAUAUGUCUGAGUGAGGGGUUUUUUUCAGGCUUUUUCAUGCAGCCUAAUGCCUUGUUUCCACUUAUCACUACCUAAAAGGGGCUUAAUUGCUUCUUCCACUGGCUUUAUAGAUUCCAAGGCCAGAAGGAACCACUUUUGUAGCCUGACCUCCUAUAUAAUACAGGCCAUAGAAUUAUGUGGCUAGCACAGCCAUUAGCUUUAACAAGGUCUGCAAUUGCCAGUAGCUCAGAGACUUGCUUGGUGGCCGCUAUUAACGCAUUCCAGCAUUAAAAGGCUUUGUUUCACUAUUCAGUUUCCUAUCCACAGCCAAUAAAUGAUCAGUUUAAACACAGUAUAAACUACAGUAUAAACACAGCUUAGCUGCUCGAACUGACUGGCGUGAUCCUAACCACUGUGAGUGAAAACUGGGAUUAGGCCUGAUGAUAAAAGAAUGUGUGGCCGGACACUAUAUCCACUGGCAAGGCUUUCUACAAUCGUCCUGCUGCUGAAAAAUAACGUCCAUGCACAAACUGCUUCCACCAGCCUCGGGGUGUGCAUUAGGGUGCAGCUACGUACCUUCUUUGUCUCAUUAAAGCUUGGCAGUUUGUGCAGAAUGAGCCACUUUAACUUGCCGUCCCACAAGGUUGGACAAUUUGCACCCUGGAACCUUCUAGCAGAUGCCUGUGUCUUCCCCCUUCUCCAGUUGUCCAAUGGCCAUUUAUUUUGACUUCUUCCCCAGGCGCUUUUCAUUAGAAGCUUGGAUUGUGAAAUCAAGAUGCUUGAAGUCAUUAACUCAAUACCAUAUCCCUUCUAGAAGAGAUGUUCUCAUUCAAUCAGAAGUUCUGGGCUUGGUGCAGAAAUUACUGGGUGAGGGUCUAUGGCAUGUGUUAUGCAGGAGAUCAGACUAGACUAGCCCUUCUGUCUAUUAACCCCACCCUUUGCCAGGUUCAAGGGAAUUUCAGUCUGUUUAGCUGGUUAAAAUAUUAAAACUGAGAGCUACUGGUAGGAGCAAAGCAUCUCAUGCUGCAGGAGAGGCGGGAGCCCUGCGAUUAUUGAUUGCUGCACUGGCAGUUACAAGAAUCCAUGUCUGGAUUUGU